UACGUAGGGUGCAAGCGUUAAUCGGAAUUACUGGGCGUAAAGCGUGCGUAGACGGUUAUUUAAGUCGGGUGUGAAAUCCCCGGGCUCAACCUGGGAAUUGCAUUCGAGACUGAAUAGCUAGGGUACGGUAGAGGUAAGCGGAAUUCCUGGUGUAGCGGUGAAAUGCGUAGAUAUCAGGAGGAACACCUGUGGUGUAGACAGCUUACUGGACCACUUCUGACGCUGAGACACGAAAGCGUGGGUAGCAAACAGG
Molecule: ribosomal RNA, 253 nt
Filed under: uncultured bacterium
Lineage: Bacteria
Description: partial 16S ribosomal RNA
Rfam family: Bacterial small subunit ribosomal RNA
Source: RNAcentral